RNAcentral lists this transfer RNA (78 nucleotides) under Streptomyces phage Wofford. Its description in RNAcentral is "tRNA-Asn". The stretch from base 12 to 77 matches the Rfam family "tRNA". From Rfam's summary of the family: Transfer RNA (tRNA) molecules are approximately 80 nucleotides in length. The record is from RNAcentral. Lineage: Duplodnaviria; Heunggongvirae; Uroviricota; Caudoviricetes; Stanwilliamsviridae.
UCUCACGAUACACCUGUGUGGCUUGGUGUAGCAGACUGUUAAUCUGCCGGUCGUAGGUUCGACUCCUACCGUGAGAGC